GAUGAAGAACGUAGCGAAAUGCGAUACUUGGUGUGAAUUGCAGAAUCCCGUGAACCAUCGAGUCUUUGAACGCAAGUUGCGCCCGAAGCCAUUAGGCCGAGGGCACGCCUGCCUGGGUGUCACACGUCGUUGCCCCCCCAUCUACUCCUUCGGGAUUGCGGGGGGCGGAUGAUGGCCUCCCGUGCGCCUCGUCGCGCGGUUGGCAUAAAUGCCAAGUCCUCGGCGACGCACGCCACGACAAUCGGUGGUUGCGAAACCUCGGUUGCCCGUCGUGUGCGGUCGUCGCGCAUCGAGGGCUCGAAAAAAUUGCCGGGCUCCGGCUCGGCUUUCAACGCGACCCCAGGUCAGGCGGGGUUACCCGCUGAAUUUAAGCAUAUCAUAAGCGGAGGA
This 390-nucleotide unclassified non-coding RNA is filed under the name soil metagenome. RNAcentral's name for it is "partial contains 5.8S ribosomal RNA, internal transcribed spacer 2, and large subunit ribosomal RNA". The stretch from base 1 to 122 matches the Rfam family "5.8S ribosomal RNA", at positions 35 to 154 of the family's 154-position model. The record is from RNAcentral.